Molecule: ribosomal RNA, 54 nt
Filed under: Escherichia coli
Lineage: Bacteria; Pseudomonadati; Pseudomonadota; Gammaproteobacteria; Enterobacterales; Enterobacteriaceae
Description: partial 23S ribosomal RNA
Source: RNAcentral
GUUGAGCUAACCGGUACUAAUGAACCGUGAGGCUUAACCUUACAACGCCGAAGC